CAGGAGGGUGGCACACCAGAGGCACUGCCUGGGGGCUCCCCAAACCCUUAGAAGAAUCCGAAUCAUCGUAGAGUUUUUCUCUAAAUAUCAAGCUUCCACAGACUCUCUGAAGUAGAAAUAUUUUAAAACAAUCAAGUAGAACCCAUUGGCAAUGCUGUGUCCUUUUGAAUGCCAUCCACAGCCUCUCCCUGGACACAGAUGAGGAAACCUCCAUUGGCUGAAGAUCACCCAGCCAGGACCAGUGGCCACGCUCCUGUCAAGUACCAAGCUGCCG
This is a long non-coding RNA of Physeter macrocephalus (sperm whale), 274 nucleotides long. RefSeq lists it as uncharacterized. Lineage: Eukaryota; Metazoa; Chordata; Mammalia; Artiodactyla; Physeteridae. The record is from RefSeq and is a predicted model, not a curated record. The transcript is spliced from 3 exons.